RNAcentral lists this ribosomal RNA (585 nucleotides) under Triticum aestivum (bread wheat). RNAcentral describes it as "partial small subunit ribosomal RNA". Lineage: Eukaryota; Viridiplantae; Streptophyta; Magnoliopsida; Poales; Poaceae. The record is from RNAcentral.
AUGGGAGAAAGAUGGCUGCUUCUGGACGAGGUCUGCAUAUGCGGCAAAAUUCUGGGGCAGAGAAGUGAUCCCUACAGCAGACUUCACUUGGAGAUCGAGGGCUCCGCUUCGCUUCGCUUCUUUGCGUGGCUGGCCCUCCAGAACAGGUGCUGGACGGCGGACCGGCUAGCCCGGCGUGGCCUGGAUCAUCCGGAGCGUUGCCCUUUUUGCGAUCAGCAUGAGGAAAGCAUCAGCCAUCUUUUGCUUGAUUGUGUGUUUGCCUCUGAGGUCUGGGCCAUCGUCUCGGCAGCCGCGAAUAAACCAAAUUGGGUGCCAACGGCAGGGGACAACAUAAGCCAAUGGUGUGCAAAGAUAGGAGGAUCAAGGAGGGAGUGCAAGGACACAAGAACUGCCUCGACGCUCGUACUAUGGAUGCGUUGGAAACAUCGCAAUGCCAUUGUCUUUGAUGGCGCUUCACCUUCCAUACGCGCGGUGAUUAACAACAUACACUCAAAGGGCACGGCGUGGAGGAAGGCGGGUAUGCUUCGGGGAGACGCUUGUACCUUCCUUGAGAAGCUUGCAGAGUGGGCGCGUAGAUCAGAGUAA